RNAcentral lists this ribosomal RNA (61 nucleotides) under Ficus arbuscula. Its description in RNAcentral is "partial 18S ribosomal RNA". Lineage: Eukaryota; Viridiplantae; Streptophyta; Magnoliopsida; Rosales; Moraceae. The record is from RNAcentral.
UUCGUAGGUGAACUGCGGAAGGAUCAUUGUCGAAACCUGCCCAGCAGAGAGACCCGCGAAC